This 494-nucleotide long non-coding RNA is filed under the name Setaria viridis. RNAcentral's name for it is "long non-coding RNA (SVIR_LNC001804)". The record is from RNAcentral. Lineage: Eukaryota; Viridiplantae; Streptophyta; Magnoliopsida; Poales; Poaceae.
AGACGAGUAGGGUGCGGGGAAGUGAUACCGGGAGGCAAGGAUGUAAUUACACAUAAACGUACUGUGGAGUAGGUGGAACCCAAUAAGUGUAAUGCUAAUGCCUAACGGCUGUAAUCCGAUUACAUUGAAAUUGAACCAAACAUCCUCUAAUUCUCUUUGGAGCUCUGAUUCUCUGAGAGAAUGGUUACGUGGCUGAAAGUGAUUUUUUUUAAUUCUUAGAAUGAAGAAUCAUUUCACGGAACCAGGGGAAGCUACUUUUUUCAGCGCACAACCUCUUACUCCCUCCGUUCCAAAUUGUAGAUCGUUUUAUCUUUUCUAGUAUAUAGGUUUUGCUAUGCACCUAAAUAUAAUGUAUAUUUAGAUGCAUAUAGAUAUUUAUAAACUUAAACUAUUUUUUUAAUUCUCUAGUAUAAACUUUUAAAAUUAGAAUGGAGAAUCAUUUCACGGAACCAGGGGAAGCUACUUUUUUUCAGCGCACAACCUCUAACUCCCUC